Molecule: small nuclear RNA, 20 nt
Filed under: Arabidopsis thaliana (thale cress)
Lineage: Eukaryota; Viridiplantae; Streptophyta; Magnoliopsida; Brassicales; Brassicaceae
Description: snRNA_13972
Source: RNAcentral
ACUGGUACGGACAAGGGGAA